This 473-nucleotide ribosomal RNA is filed under the name uncultured bacterium. Its description in RNAcentral is "bacterial SSU rRNA". It matches the Rfam family "Bacterial small subunit ribosomal RNA", at positions 30 to 507 of the family's 1533-position model. The record is from RNAcentral.
AUUGAACGCUGGCGGCAGGCUUAACACAUGCAAGUCGAGCGGAGACUUCGGUCUUAGCGGCGAACGGGUGAGUAAUACCUAGGAAUCUGCCUAUUAGUGGGGGAUAACGAAUCGAAAGGUUCGCUAAUACCGCAUACGUCCUACGGGAGAAAGGGGGGGGAUCUUCGGACCUCUCGCUAAUAGAUGAGCCUAGGCCGGAUUAGCUAGUUGGUAGGGUAAAGGCCUACCAAGGCGACGAUCUGUAGCUGGUCUGAGAGGAUGGCCAGCCACACUGGAACUGAGACACGGUCCAGACUCCUACGGGAGGCAGCAGUGGGGAAUAUUGGACAAUGGGGGCAACCCUGAUCCAGCCAUGCCGCGUGUGUGAAGAAGGCCUUCGGGUUGUAAAGCACUUUAAGCGAGGAGGAAGGUUUUUAGUUUAAUACACUAAAGAAUUGACGUUACUCGCAGAAUAAGCACCGGCUAACUCUGUG